GAUGAACGCUGACAGAAUGCUUAACACAUGCAAGUCUUUGGCGAAGCUGUGCUUGCACAGCCUAGCCAAGGCGGACGGGUGAGUAACGCGUAAGGAACUUGCCCUGCAGUCAGGGAUAACAGACGGAAACGACUGAUAAGACCUGGUAAAGUCAGGCGGACUCAUGUCCAGCCUGAUGAAAAGAGAUGCUGCAGGAGAGCCUUGCGUCCUAUUAGCUUGUUGGUGGGGUAACGGCCCACCAAGGCGAUGAUAGGUAGCCGGCCUGAGAGGGUGGACGGCCACAAGGGGACUGAGAUACGGCCCUUACUCCCACGGGAGGCAGCAGUGGGGAAUAUUGGACAAUGGGGGCAACCCUGAUCCAGCAAUUCUGUGUGCACGAUGAAGGUUUUCGGAUUGUAAAGUGCUUUCAGCAGGGAAGAAAAAAAUGACGGUACCUGCAGAAGAAGCGACGGCUAAAUACGUG
Molecule: ribosomal RNA, 463 nt
Filed under: uncultured bacterium
Lineage: Bacteria
Description: partial 16S ribosomal RNA
Rfam family: Bacterial small subunit ribosomal RNA
Source: RNAcentral